This 1332-nucleotide long non-coding RNA is filed under the name Olea europaea subsp. europaea. Lineage: Eukaryota; Viridiplantae; Streptophyta; Magnoliopsida; Lamiales; Oleaceae. The record is from RNAcentral.
AUGUACAAUUUUUGAACAUUUGACCGCAGUUGUCAAAACAACAAUUUCCAGUUGGUUUAAGCCUUAAGUACAGGCUUCUGGACAGAAUUUGGAUAGGGUGCCGUUGUGGCAACACCUUGUAGGCCUGUUUUUCUUUUUUUUAUCGUCCAAUAAAAACCCUCCAAAUGUAUUUUCUGUAAUUUUUCUAUUGAUUUUUCUUGUACCUAUGGCAUCUCUCUUUCCAACCAACCAGGACAAAGGGAAUUGGUAUGUAAACAAUUGAUGCAUCCUUGGUGAAGCAACAUGUUAUUGAGGUGAAGCAUCAGGACCCUCUUUUAAUAUCGCUUGAUUCUUAAAGAACUAGGCAUUAUUAACCAUAAAAUACUUGGUAUUUGGAGGGAUUUUGAAGACGGAUAAACUUCGAUGAAUUUUCACGAUUAGGAUUUGCAACCGUAGGCGAAAAAUAAUCGAGACGGAAAUACGUAUUCACCCAUUUUGUUCUUUAUUUUGAGCUGAGGUUCAAAGAAGUGUAGAAAAUGUUGAGUCUUAAGGGAUAGCAAAUAAUAUCUUAAUGGUAAUGGAAGAUUCCAUUAUAUAUAAUGCACAUGAAAUCAUGGAAAACAAGAUUCUAAGUAUUCCUCCUCACAUUUAUUUCUUCUUCCUUUUUUUUUUUUUUUUGGAUUCUAGCAGAUGUGUAACUUGAUGUUAUUUAUGUAUUUCACGUUUGCUGAUACACCACUUCCGCCCCUUGGUUCUCAUCAACAGGGGCAUGAAAGAAGUGUCUUCACAACAAUUGAUCCAAGAUUCACCAAGAAUGCUCGAGGGAAAACUUUUGUCGACAAUCCAGUUAUCAGUUGAAGCAUGAAAGAUAGGUAAGAUAUGUAGUGAAUAAAAUCAGAUUUGACAUCACAGUACCUCGUAUUCUUGGCACUUUAGAAAUAUUAUAAGAACAAUGCCGUACCUUUAUUUCACUGGGCCUGAGGCGAACUUCAGAAUUUGGGCUCCUAAGUCAAGCAAGAAAUCCAUUUUUUAUUGUCCGUUGUUCUCAAUCAUUAAAUUUUUCGAUGUUCGUUCCUUCUCUUUUCUUUAUUGAUAUUAAGGUACGUAUCCAUAUCUCCAGUUUGACUUCGUAUUAAUGCCUCUACUUUUUCUCUCUUCUUUCUUGUUAUUAAGGUACGUAUCCAUAUCUUCAGUUUGGUUUCGAAUUAAUGUCACAACUCUCUCUCUUCUUCUUUUUUGAGCUCCAAACACAUAGUUAGGAGCCAUAUAUUUAACUCAAGUCACUCAACAGCUAAUACUUACUAAGGCCCUAUUUGAGUUCCAUUAUUUCCUCAUUAAAAUGAAAAAUAUGAC